GAUGAACGCUGGCGGCGUGCCUAAUACAUGCAAGUCGAGCGAACGGACGAGAAGCUUGCUUCUCUGAUGUUAGCGGCGGACGGGUGAGUAACACGUGGAUAACCUACCUAUAAGACUGGGAUAACUUCGGGAAACCGGAGCUAAUACCGGAUAAUAUUUUGAACCGCAUGGUUCAAAAGUGAAAGACGGUCUUGCUGUCACUUAUAGAUGGAUCCGCGCUGCAUUAGCUAGUUGGUAAGGUAACGGCUUACCAAGGCAACGAUGCAUAGCCGACCUGAGAGGGGGAUCGGCCACACUGGAACUGAGACACGGUCCAGACUCCUACGGGAGGCAGCAGUAUGGAACCUUCCGCAAUGGGCGAAAGCCUGACGGAGCAACGCCGCGUGAGUGAUGAAGGUCUUCGGAUCGUAAAACUCUGUUAUUAGGUAAGAACAUAUGUGUAAGUAACUGUGCACAUCUUGACGGUACCUAAUCAGAAAGCCACGGCUAACUACGUG
RNAcentral lists this ribosomal RNA (497 nucleotides) under uncultured bacterium. RNAcentral's name for it is "partial 16S ribosomal RNA". It matches the Rfam family "Bacterial small subunit ribosomal RNA", at positions 28 to 507 of the family's 1533-position model. The record is from RNAcentral.